RNAcentral lists this ribosomal RNA (375 nucleotides) under uncultured bacterium. RNAcentral's name for it is "bacterial SSU rRNA". It matches the Rfam family "Bacterial small subunit ribosomal RNA", at positions 524 to 898 of the family's 1533-position model. The record is from RNAcentral.
UACGUAGGUGGCAAGCGUUGUCCGGAAUUAUUGGGCGUAAAGGGAGCGCAGGUGGGAAUGUAAGUCAGUCUUAAAAGUGCGGGGCUCAACCCCGUGAGGGGAUUGAAACUACAUUUCUUGAGUGCAGGAGAGGAAAGUGGAAUUCCUAGUGUAGCGGUGAAAUGCGUAGAGAUUAGGAGGAACACCAGUGGCGAAGGCGACUUUCUGGACUGUAACUGACACUGAGGCUCGAAAGCCAGGGGAGCGAACGGGAUUAGAUACCCCGGUAGUCCUGGCCGUAAACGAUGGAUACUAGGUGUGGGAGGUAUCGACCCCUUCCGUGCCGGAGUUAACGCAAUAAGUAUCCCGCCUGGGGAGUACGGCCGCAAGGCUGAA